Molecule: transfer RNA, 73 nt
Filed under: Alienimonas californiensis
Lineage: Bacteria; Pseudomonadati; Planctomycetota; Planctomycetia; Planctomycetales; Planctomycetaceae
Also listed under: 2 other names
Rfam family: tRNA
About the family: Transfer RNA (tRNA) molecules are approximately 80 nucleotides in length.
Source: Rfam by way of RNAcentral
GCUCGUGUAGCUCAACUGGCAGAGCAUCGGUUUUGUAAACCGAAGGUUGCGGGUUCGAGUCCCGCCGCGAGCU